GACCGCAACCGCGUGGGUAAGUGGAAACACCCCCAAGGCAUCGCUCGAUGAGCCUGACAGCGCGUAGUGCGGUUUU
This 76-nucleotide non-coding RNA is filed under the name unclassified sequences. The record is from RNAcentral.